This 862-nucleotide ribosomal RNA is filed under the name Micromonospora sp. RNAcentral describes it as "bacterial SSU rRNA". It matches the Rfam family "Bacterial small subunit ribosomal RNA", at positions 43 to 920 of the family's 1533-position model. Lineage: Bacteria; Bacillati; Actinomycetota; Actinomycetes; Micromonosporales; Micromonosporaceae. The record is from RNAcentral.
CGCGUGCUUACACAUGCAAGUCGAGCGGAAAGGCCCUUCGGGGUACUCGAGCGGCGAACGGGUGAGUAACACGUGAGCAACCUGCCCCAGGCUUUGGGAUAACCCCGGGAAACCGGGGCUAAUACCGAAUAUGACCUCCGAUCGCAUGGUUGGUGGUGGAAAGUUUUUCGGCUUGGGAUGGGCUCGCGGCCUAUCAGCUUGUUGGUGGGGUGAUGGCCUACCAAGGCGACGACGGGUAGCCGGCCUGAGAGGGCGACCGGCCACACUGGGACUGAGACACGGCCCAGACUCCUACGGGAGGCAGCAGUGGGGAAUAUUGCACAAUGGGCGGAAGCCUGAUGCAGCGACGCCGCGUGAGGGAUGACGGCCUUCGGGUUGUAAACCUCUUUCAGCAGGGACGAAGCGUAAGUGACGGUACCUGCAGAAGAAGCGCCGGCCAACUACGUGCCAGCAGCCGCGGUAAGACGUAGGGCGCGAGCGUUGUCCGGAUUUAUUGGGCGUAAAGAGCUCGUAGGCGGCUUGUCGCGUCGACUGUGAAAACCCGCAGCUCAACUGCGGGCCUGCAGUCGAUACGGGCAGGCUAGAGUUCGGUAGGGGAGACUGGAAUUCCUGGUGUAGCGGUGAAAUGCGCAGAUAUCAGGAGGAACACCGGUGGCGAAGGCGGGUCUCUGGGCCGAUACUGACGCUGAGGAGCGAAAGCGUGGGGAGCGAACAGGAUUAGAUACCCUGGUAGUCCACGCUGUAAACGUUGGGCGCUAGGUGUGGGGGGCCUCUCCGGUUCCCUGUGCCGCAGCUAACGCAUUAAGCGCCCCGCCUGGGGAGUACGGCCGCAAGGCUAAAACUCAAAGGAAUUGACGGGGGC